GCUGGGUGCCAUGCAAAAUGUAAUGUGUAACUCAAAUGUAUUGAAGUAAAGUGUGCAGAUGCUUAUUCAAAAGUGCUUAUAUCUAUCAGAUGUUUGUACACAGCAGAUGCUUUCCAGAUGAAGCGAUCUUUAACAGACAUCUCGCAAACGUUCGUGUGCUAUCUGGGUUGGCAAUAUAUACAACAACAGAGCAUCACAAUAAAGAGCGUGAGUAAUGAGGCCAAAGUGCAAAUGAUGAAAGAGAUUACGCCCGUGGGAGGAAACUGUUAAAUGUUCUACUGUAUAUGUGGUUUAGUUCAGCAUAUAGAAUGUCAAUGUGUGAUUUUGGCUUGCAUUAAUAUGCAGCAAAUUAUGUCUGUGUUUGUACAGCCGCACCUGAAGAAUUCAGCGUAGACCACACCCUAGCUCGAGGGGAAACUAUAGUGUUUUGCUGCAUGACCGGUCAUCUCAUAAACACUAAGCAUGUGUAUGCAAGCUUUUACAAAAGAGAUUCAGAUGAAAUACAUUUUGAUGCAUCCACAAAACCAUCACAUGAAACAUGACGCUCUCUUGUGGCUGCUGGGAUACAUUGGAGAUGUAAGUGAAAUAAAUGAAUUAUUUACCUAACAAAUGAUACAUUUAGAACAAUAAAAUGGGUUGAUUUGCAGAAUCAAUUUCAUUGUUAACACUUUAACAAACAUAAACAAUAAUGCCAAAAUAACAUUUUCUAUGUAAGUUUGUCAAUGCUGUCAUCUCUGUACAAUAUUUGUACAAUUUAGAACAUUUAUUUUCUGAAUGAAAAAUAUAGUUGUUUACAAUGGGAUAUAAUUUAGCUCUGCUGACAGCUGUAACUUGUUAAAUCAUCUAAACCAACAACAUGUUAGACCCUAUUCUAUCUAAGAUCUUAAAAGAGCUGGUUCCAGAAGUCAUAGAUCCUCUUCUGACUAUUAUUAAUUCAGCAUUGUCAUUACAGUAGGUUAUGUAUUAAGCCUCUCAUCACGUGAGAUAAACGUGACUCAAUACAACAGUGGGACUACAGUAAAAAAGCUAUUAUCAAUCUAAAAACACAGAUGUGUUGCCAUUAAUGGAACUGAAAGGGUUUGUCUAACCUGAAACACACAUGGUCGUAGUCAUGUGGUGAAUCUGGCCAAUCAUGAAACAGCUGUGUCGUCAUCAGCGCUCCUGCAGUCACUCUGGAGAAACUGUGGCGGCUGAGUCAGCCGGCUGCUCUCGAAACACUCUCGCGGUACUUUGUGGCUUCGGCACCGUCUCAAGUCGGACAAAAUAUCUAACCGGCAUGCACUGCUUCAAGUCAGACUGCGAUCAGGUUGUGCACUACUGCGUGAAGUCGAACGCACCUUCAAUUUAUCGUUUCCCUCUCAAACGUGAUUGGAUUGUGCAGGCGCCUGCAUGUCAAUGUGAGAGGAAGGGGCUUAAUACUGUCACUCAAAUGAGCUGAAUUUUAGUUUUCCUUCUUUGUAUGCUGACCUAAACACAGCUGAUUUUCAUUAUUAUUUUCUCUUCUAUGCUGCGUGUAUAACAUGGUCAGGUUCAGAGGUGUGUCAGAACAUUGCUAUAUUGCCUUCUUUGCUGGUUUAGGUUUAUUGAUUUGAUUGAUGAAAA
This is a long non-coding RNA of Carassius auratus (goldfish), 1602 nucleotides long. RefSeq lists it as uncharacterized. NCBI's taxonomy places the organism in Eukaryota, Metazoa, Chordata, Actinopteri, Cypriniformes, Cyprinidae. The record is from RefSeq and is a predicted model, not a curated record. The transcript has 2 exons.